Cannabis sativa is the source of this 107-nucleotide small nucleolar RNA. The record is from RefSeq and is a predicted model, not a curated record. Lineage: Eukaryota; Viridiplantae; Streptophyta; Magnoliopsida; Rosales; Cannabaceae.
AUGCAAUGGUGAGGACAUUUCGGCAAAAAUUCCUUGAACCUCUCCCAUGCCUCAUACAAAGACUCGCCUUCACAUUUUUGAAAGGACGUUCUCCGUUAUCUCCUUCU